UGAUCAUGGCUCAGGAUGAACGCUAGCGGCAGGCCUAACACAUGCAAGUCGAGGGGUAGAGAUUAGCUUGCUAAUCUUGAGACCGGCGCACGGGUGCGUAACGCGUAUGCAACCUACCUUUUACAAAGGGAUAGCCCGGAGAAAUUCGGAUUAAUACCUUAUAGUAUUGUUGAUAAUCAUUUAUUAACAAUUAAAGUUUCGGCGGUAAAAGAUGGGCAUGCGUCCUAUUAGCUAGAUGGAGUGGUAACGGCACCCCAUGGCAACGAUAGGUAGGGGUCCUGAGAGGGAGAUCCCCCACACUGGUACUGAGACACGGACCAGACUCCUACGGGAGGCAGCAGUGAGGAAUAUUGGACAAUGGACGCAAGUCUGAUCCAGCCAUGCCGCGUGCAGGAAGACGGCCCUAUGGGUUGUAAACUGCUUUUAUACAAGAAGAAUAAGACUUACGUGUAAGUUGAUGACGGUAUUGUAUGAAUAAGCACCGGCUAACUCCGUGC
Molecule: ribosomal RNA, 497 nt
Filed under: unidentified eubacterium SCB38
Lineage: Bacteria; Pseudomonadati; Bacteroidota
Description: bacterial SSU rRNA
Rfam family: Bacterial small subunit ribosomal RNA
Source: RNAcentral